AGGACCGUCGGGGGGGGGGGGGGGUCGAUAUCUUUGUUGGGGUGCGGGGGCCCCGGACGGCGACCUUCUUGCCUGCGGUCGGAGGAGAUUCCACCCACAGAGUUGGGCUGUCCCCUCCAGACAGCCUGUCUGCACUGUGGAAAGAUGGGCGCCUUCUCUUCCUCCAGAGGGUGUCUGCAGGGUUAAAAAUGCUGAUGUACUCUAUGCUGUUUGUCUUCCUCCGUUUUGCACCUCAUUCUGAAAACAAAAGUAACUAGUUAUUUUGGGUCAGUAAGGUAGGCACUUCACACUACUAGAAGUUAAUAAAACUGUAGCUGGUAAACGAAUUCUCUUAUUAAAGAAAGGCUAGGCACGAUGAUUCCAGACGAUGAACGCAUGGUAGAAAUAGUCUCUUCAAUGUGAGCAGUUUUAUGAGGAAUGAUCUUACAUGUCACGUUUCCCGGGAACAAGUCACAAGAUGAAUGGCUUUGUUUUAUUUUUAAACAAAGAUAACACGUAUUGGUCUCAUUUAUCUAUGAAUAUAACAAUGGGAAGGGCUCAUGCAAAUAAUUCUGUUACUCAAGAAUACCUUUGAAGGUAACGGUGGUAAGUAUACAAAAAGGAACAAAGUGUUUACUAUUUUAUUUCUGACCUUCAGUAUGACUAUAGAAGUGUUUCAAGCUUAAUAGAUAUAAAAUAGAUUAGACAGGUUUACAUUUAGGCUUAAUUUCAAAACUUCAAUUAUUUUUAGGAGUUGGUUAUACAAAGUGUUUUUGUGUCUUAUACAAAAUUAUUGUGACUUGCUCAUUUAUAUUUCUUUAGGCAAUAACCUCCUCAAUUUGAGUUACUAUGGAAGACAAAUUUGUGGGGGGAAGAAACACCAACAAAUUUCUUAGAAAUAUGUGAGAGUGAGACCUAUGUAAUGCACUGAUUUCUGUAAUUUGUCAUGUGUUUGGGUAGUUUGAAGUUUUUCUAGCCUUAUAUCCAAUGGACAUCUAACCAUGGAGAAAUGAAAUGAAUCUAGUUGAUAGCUACAGUAAGUAAGAUUUCAUGAGUUAACCCUUAAGUUUUUUGGGGGAGGGAGGAUCUAUACUAUUUUUUUAGAAAUUUCAUUUACAAAAUUAAUAUUUGAGGAGUCAGUGUUGUUAGCUUCUAAAACAAUAACCUCAGUGUCCCAAAGAAAACACUGGGUUAGGAAAACUGAAAAGUGGAAUUAGGACGGCCUUAAGUAGAUACAGAAACCUACUCUUCUCAUCACUCAAAAGAGAAUUAGGGGGGAUAAAUGUGAUGGAAAAAAAUAAAAUAGGAUUAGUACAUUGAUUUUUAUUAUAAUUAUAGGUAGAUCAUUAAGUAGUAUUGUAUUGUCAAUUGCUUAAAGAGCAAGGAUUUUUUCCAACAGGGUUAAGUAUCAGGAUCACCUAUAGAACUCGAAAAAUACAUAGUUAUUGCCCACCCAUCCCUGCCUAAUUCUAUAGGGUUGGAACUAAUUAUUGUGUAUUUUUUAAAUUAUAGGUGACAUGGUGGAUAUCUAUAAUACUGUAAACAGUAUUGGCAAAGAUUUUAGAUUUAUUACAAAUUAUACCCAUAAAUGAAUUGUGAUAUAUAUAGAUGAGGAAA
Long non-coding RNA from Myotis myotis, 1596 nucleotides. RefSeq lists it as uncharacterized. Lineage: Eukaryota; Metazoa; Chordata; Mammalia; Chiroptera; Vespertilionidae. The record is from RefSeq and is a predicted model, not a curated record. The transcript has 2 exons.